CCUACGGGGGGCAGCAGUGAGGAAUAUUGGUCAAUGGGCGGAAGCCUGAACCAGCCAAGUCGCGUGAGGGAUUAAGGCCCUGCGGGUCGUAAACCUCUUUUGCCGGGGAGCAGAGGUCCGGACGUGUCCGGGCCGGGAGAGUACCCGGAGAAAAAGCAUCGGCUAACUCCGUGCCAGCAGCCGCGGUAAUACGGAGGAUGCGAGCGUUAUCCGGAUUUAUUGGGUUUAAAGGGAGCGUAGAUGGGUUGUUAAGUCAGUUGUGAAAGUUUGCGGCUCAACCGUAAAAUUGCAAUUGAUACUGGCAG
RNAcentral lists this ribosomal RNA (305 nucleotides) under uncultured bacterium. RNAcentral's name for it is "bacterial SSU rRNA". It matches the Rfam family "Bacterial small subunit ribosomal RNA", at positions 338 to 639 of the family's 1533-position model. The record is from RNAcentral.